Molecule: ribosomal RNA, 465 nt
Filed under: Vreelandella stevensii
Lineage: Bacteria; Pseudomonadati; Pseudomonadota; Gammaproteobacteria; Oceanospirillales; Halomonadaceae
Description: partial 16S ribosomal RNA
Rfam family: Bacterial small subunit ribosomal RNA
Source: RNAcentral
CCUACGGGUGGCAGCAGUGGGGAAUAUUGGACAAUGGGCGAAAGCCCGAUCCAGCCAUGCCGCGUGUGUGAAGAAGGCCUUCGGGUUGUAAAGCACUUUCAGUGGGGAAGAAAGCCUUGGGGCUAAUACCCUCGAGGAAGGACAUCACCCACAGAAGAAGCACCGGCUAACUCCGUGCCAGCAGCCGCGGUAAUACGGAGGGUGCGAGCGUUAAUCGGAAUUACUGGGCGUAAAGCGCGCGUAGGCGGUCUGAUAAGCCGGUUGUGAAAGCCCCGGGCUCAACCUGGGAACGGCAUCCGGAACUGUCAGGCUAGAGUGCAGGAGAGGAAGGUAGAAUUCCCGGUGUAGCGGUGAAAUGCGUAGAGAUCGGGAGGAAUACCAGUGGCGAAGGCGGCCUUCUGGACUGACACUGACGCUGAGGUGCGAAAGCGUGGGUAGCAAACAGGAUUAGAUACCCCAGUAGUC